UAUCAAAGGCCAAUUAAUAUUAUAAUGC
This 28-nucleotide small RNA is filed under the name Bombyx mori (domestic silkworm). Its description in RNAcentral is "ovarian small RNA-23470". Lineage: Eukaryota; Metazoa; Arthropoda; Insecta; Lepidoptera; Bombycidae. The record is from RNAcentral.